AAAAUGCUCUGAGUUGGAAAAUAAAACUUUCCAGACAAGAAUUGUGGAAAACGUCUUCGUGUUUCUGAACAGGCUGUUGGGAAGUUUGCUUUGAAAUUUUAACCCAGGAUUUAUAUAAGCUAACCGGCUUUCGAACAAUCGGUGCAACGAUAUGACCGAUCAGAUUUCGAAUUGAUCUUUGAACCCGGAAAUACCGAAGUUGUUACCGUCUAGUAUUACAAUAGCGAUUGUUUUUAAUAUCACAGAAUUUAUGAGCCGAGGUAUCGAAGAAAUGGUUUAUUUAGACAUUGAAAUAACCUGUACCGUUUGAAAAUCUAUAAAGGUGAGAUACAGUUUGCUAUUUUUGAUCUGUUAUAAAUAGAAUACUUUUAAUAAAUGCAAAUUAAGUGAAUAUUUAAUAUUGUAUAAAUUUGUAUGCAUAUAGCGAACGUGACAAUUAUUUUCUGAUGUUUUGGUUGUGUCACUUGUGUGCUGACAUGUUAUACAUCAUUCGAUUCAACGCACUAUUCAAAAGAGGAACAUUUCAGAUUAUAUAAAUCCAUAUUCUGUAUAUAAACAGCAAGUUUUGCUUCUCUUACAAAAAAGUCCAAGGCCAACCUAUGUUCCUAUAGGAAACCUAUUGCUUUUAUAGGCAAUUGGAUAUAAGCCUAUAUAUAGCUCUAUAGGUGCCUAAGGGCUUCCAUAGGGAAUUAAAGGCACUGAUAGGCCACCUAUAGACUUUUUUCAUAAAGAUCUGCAUUAUAAUAUUAACCCUGCGCCCUACUUUAUUAUUUUACUCUGUCUAACGCCAGACGAUUUUACUUGUCAGGGGGAGAGUGCUUCCACUCAAUGCAUGGGUUAAUUGGACUAUCUUCCCAUGCACCUGUUAUGCGCAAAUCAAAUUAAUCGAAACUUUGAAAUCCUCCAGGCAUACCUGGGGAAUUUGCUUGUUUAGUAUUUGAAGAAGGCAGGAAUUUGACCUUUUUUUCUAGUGGAAGGUGGGGAAUUUGUUUAGGGGGUCGGGAAUUUGAAUUUUUCUAUAAAACUUGUGUGCUGAAUUCAAAAUGGCGUCAGUGACAAUGGAUGAGUUCAAGUGCGGAGAAAUUAACUUUGUCCUUGGUUGGCUACAACAAAAUGACUUUGAACGAUUGAAGAGAGUUUCUGAAGGAAAGAAAAAAUUUGUAAUUCCAAAAUUACAAAAUGCUGUAGCUUCCAAUUCGUACAUGGGGUGGGGCAUUUGAACUCCAAUUUUUCACAAUAUGUGGUGUAUUUGAAUGGGAAUUACAAAUAUAUGUGAAUUUGACCUGACCAAAACGUCAAAAUCCAUAUGCCAGGGGUGUGUGUGUCAAGGUUUUGAUUUGAUUCGCGCAUUAACCCUUUAAGUGGCAUUGCGCCCUACUUCAUUUGCUCUGUCUAACGCCAGACAAUUUUACUUGUCAGGGGAGAUCUAGAGUGCUGCCACUCAAUGGCAGGGUUUCUGACUCCAUCUUGCCAAUUAGUGGGGCAAACACAAUUUAGAUCGGGUAACAUUUCCAUGACCCUAGGGACCAGUAUUCCCAUUGGGAUGAGUAUUCCUUUUUGCCCCACUUGGAAAGAUGGCUUCUCAUUUAACUCCAUAAAGGCAGUUCUAACGUUUCCCUGGAAGUUUCUAAUAAAAUAUAAUUGAAUUCAGAUUGGAAUCACGAUCAGCGUUUUUUUAGCUCAGUUUCAACAUGAAUUUUGAGCUCAGUCUCAAAUCACACCAAGUGCAGGUGAUCGAUCACUGGUUUGCUAUAAUCAUGCAUGUAUAAUGUUGUAUAUUAUGUGAUGCACACCAGUUUAAAGCACAAACACUGUACCAGUACAUCACAUGCAGUUUCAGGUUUCAGUCAUUGCCCUGUAGUGGCCGUAGCAAGAUGACUGCUUUUUUAUAUGAUCUUAUAUAUCUUUGGAAUGGCAACAUCUGGUUGGUCUGCGAGAUACAGUAAUUACAAUGAGAUUAGCCAAUUUAAUAUACUGUAACAGUGUCAUGUUUAGCAGUUUUAGGACUUGUGUAUAGGAAUGUAGUCAUAUUCCUGAAUGUUAUGACUUAAAAAAAUGAGAGGAUCGAAGCGUCAUCGAAGAGGAAGCAUCAUUCCACAGUUUUGGUAAUAAGCGCCUCAGCAUAAUAUAUCUUCUUUUAGAAGACCCUCUAUUAAUCUGAAAUCUGUCUAAUAGGGACACUUUUUUAUGUCUCGCCUUCAGUGCAUGUCUAUAUUAGAAAAGGGAAAGGAAAAAGGGAAGGUGGAAGGGAAAGAAGAAGGGAAAGAAGAAGGGAAAGAAAGAGGGAAACAAGGGAAGAGGGAAUGGAUGGAAACAAAGAAAGAAACCAACUCCUGCACAGCUACUGAACAUGUUUGUUCAAAACUACAUAUUCAAUAUAUUGUUCACAAACAGACAAGCUUGGAUCCAAACUACCUGAAGAAUAUAAAGAGAAGUUCUAAUUCUUAGACUUGGAGGGUGAGAGUUGAUGAUUGUUGGUAAGUGAGAGUUUGCAUGAGUUUCUCAAUUCUCGUACCUGACUGUCAAAUGAGAAUAUUUACCUCACGUGUAUUGAAAACUCUCAUCCUCACAUUUAAUUUAUUGGUUAUUCACAGUUGCCAAAGGCACGAGAUUUGUAGGGGGGUCUGGGGGGGGGGGCAUUUUUAAAAUUUGGAUCCCUGAAAUGGCAUUUGCAGCAUUCUGAGAGCACAUUUUGUAAGAAAUUCCAUGUUUUCAAAACAUUAAGUUAAUGGUGCAUUUUGGUAUAAAUCAUGUGGUAAGCAUAAGAAAACGGUAACCUGAACUUGCAGUACGUAAUAAAUAUCUAAACCAGAGAAGUGAAAGAACACCUGAAAAUUCCUACCUAUAGAAUAGAUACUGUAUAGUCCGUAGUAAAUUUGAUACAAUUAAUUGCUAUUGUUUUAUGAAAACUCGGAAGAUACUCAAAAUUAUAUAUGCAUGUAUAUCAUAAGUCUAUAUUCUGAGUGACGUAACUGGACACGAUUAAAGUUACAUUCAUUGGUAUUGUGACAGUCUCCAUAUUGACUCUGCCUUGCUUAAAACCGAGUGCGAACGGGCGAAGAUUCUAAUUGCUGCCGGAAAGAACAUCGACCCUGAGCUGUACCCCAACUUAUUCAAGGUGAUCGCCAUAUCAAAGACCUUGCCAGUUGUUACUGCAACCGUGGAAAGAAGCUUCAGUGUUAUGAAUCGGAUAUUGAGCUGGGCUCGUCAUAAUGAAUACAAAUCGUUUCGCCCCCAAGUCGAUUUGCCCCAAGUCGUCACCGACUUUGUCAAACCUUUUCACGCUUUUGUUUUCGUUUGAAAUGUCAGCUUUGGCUUUGACAAGUUUGAAGCAUGCAUGCAUUAGCGUUGGCCAGUGACUUUGUGUUGCUAUCCAUGAAUAAAGACCUGUUAAAAAGGAUAAACUUGGACAAAGUGCUUGAUCGAUGGGUAAAUCAAAAAUCCCGAAUAGUACAGUUUAUAAGAAAAGACUUGUAGCGCAGCUAGCGCUUAAAACUAAUUUAAUUUGACUUUUUUCAGAAUUCAUAACACUCAUUGUGUGACUUGUGAGAUCAUAAAUUUAGAAUACUUUAGCUUGUUUUUAGCUUGUUUCUAUUAAAACUUGCCAUUUCGUUGCUGUUGUUAUUGUAACAAAUAGUGCUUCCUUAUAUCAUGCUUUCAUUUUUCAAAAUGAAUUAUGAAAUCUAGCUAAAAUAUAAUUUUAGUAAUUUUUUUUUUUUUUUUUUGGGGGGGCGAUCGCCCCCUCCCUCGCCCCCCCCCCCCUAGUUCCUCCACUGGUUAUUCAGUUUGUCCUUAAGUGUUUAUGGUCAUAAUUAAUGGCAACGGAACAGUUUUUAUUUUUUUUGGGAGGGGGCCUUGGGGGGUCUAAUUUCCAUAAAUUGUGCAACAUAAUGAUAUGCGUGAUAUUCCCCCAAUACGUGAUAUCAAGCAUGCGUACUUCUUUGCUGCGAAGAGUUGUGAUGAGCUGUUUGCCGGACACUAGGAAUUUUUGUCACGAAUGACAAAAAUAUGUUUUAUAUUUGUUGUUCACGACACGAGUGACAAAAAUCCUGAAUAUUUUCCCCGCACACUAGGAUUUUUGUCACACGUAAUUGAUCACGAAUGACGAGAAUGACAAGUGUGCGUGCAACUUGCACUAGUGUGCGCCGGCCUUUGGAGUAUACGUAUAACAUCAGAGGCUGUAUAUUGCAUGUGUCCUGAAACCUUUAGACCUUCUAAGGAGACAUCUAACAUAUUUAGAAUGUUUGCUGACUCAAGUGCCCUUUCUGGUCAGUACCCCUUCACUGUCGAGGUGCUUCCGCGGUCUCUGAUUGCCAGCAAUAGAUGGACUAAAUUCAUUUGCUUUCAGAUCGACAAGAUAUAAUACUUUUCCAUUACCGUUAUUUGAUGUCACUGAUGACUCAAAACAAUGGCAAUUACAGCCAAGCAUCUGGUGAAGUUAUCAAUGCUAUUUAUGAAAUGUCGAAAGGCUCAAGCAUGCUCUUGAUGGAAAAAUUG
RNAcentral lists this long non-coding RNA (4497 nucleotides) under Paramuricea clavata. The record is from RNAcentral. Lineage: Eukaryota; Metazoa; Cnidaria; Anthozoa; Malacalcyonacea; Plexauridae.